RNAcentral lists this ribosomal RNA (681 nucleotides) under uncultured bacterium. RNAcentral's name for it is "bacterial SSU rRNA". It matches the Rfam family "Bacterial small subunit ribosomal RNA", at positions 98 to 811 of the family's 1533-position model. The record is from RNAcentral.
GCAAACGGGUUAGUAACACAUAGGAAUCUGCCCCAAAGUCGUGAAUAACCUGGAGAAAUCCAGAAUAAUACACGAUGUGCUCUACGGAGUAAAGCUUUAGUGCUUUGGGAGGAGCCUGUGUCCUAUCAGCUUGUUGGUGAGGUAAUAGCUCACCAAGGCUAUGACGGGUAGGGGGUGUGAGAGCAUGACCCCCAACAUUGGAACUGAGACACUGUCCAAACUCCUACGGGAGGCUGCAGUCGAGAAUAUUCCACAAUGGGCGAAAGCCUGAUGGAGCGACGCCGCGUGCAGGAUGAAGGCCCUAGGGUCGUAAACUGCUUUUAUUGAGGAACAAUUUUUUGAGCGUACUCAAUGAAUAAGGGGUUACUAACUCUGUGCCAGCAGUAGCGGUAAUACAGAGACCCCGAGCGUUAUCCGGAUUUAUUGGGCGUAAAGCGCAUGUAGGCGGAUAUACUAGUCAAAUGCCAAAUCUCCGAGCUCAACUCGGAAACUGCAUUUGAAACGGUAUAUCUAGAGAAAGUGAGAGACCAGUGGAAUUCAUGGUGUAGUAGUGAAAUGCGUUGAUAUCAUGAGGAACACCUAAUGCGAAGGCAUCUGGUUGGCACUUUUCUGACGCUGAGAUGCGAAAGCGUGGGGAGCGAAGGGGAUUAGAUACCCCCGUAGUCCACGCCGUAAACGAUG